GCUGGCGACCAUAGCAAGAGUGAACCACCUGAUCCUUCCCGAACUCAGAAGUGAAACCUCUUAGCGCUGAUGGUAGUGUGGGAUUACCCAUGUGAGAGUAAGUCAUCGCCAGCU
Molecule: ribosomal RNA, 114 nt
Filed under: Acinetobacter baumannii
Lineage: Bacteria; Pseudomonadati; Pseudomonadota; Gammaproteobacteria; Moraxellales; Moraxellaceae
Source: RNAcentral